UGGGGAAUAUUGCACAAUGGAGGGAACUCUGAUGCAGCGACGCCGCGUGAGUGAUGAAGGAAUUCGUUUCGUAAAACUCUGUUCUAUGGGAAGAAAAGGACUGUACCAUAGGAGAAAGCUCCGGCUAAAUACGUGCCAGCAGCCGCGGUAAUACGCAUGGAGCGAGCGUUGUCCGGAAUUAUUGGGCGUAAAGGGUGCGCAGGCGGCUUUACAAGUUGGAUGUGAAAUAUUGUGGCUCAACCACAAACGUGCAUCCAAAACUGCAAAGCUUGAGUGAAGGAGAGGUAAGUGGAAUUCCUGGUGUAGCGGUGGAAUGCGUAGAUAUCAGGAGGAAUACCGGUGGCGAAGGCGACUAACUGGACUUAAACUGACGCUCAGGCACGAAAGCGUGGGGAGCAAACAGG
Molecule: ribosomal RNA, 404 nt
Filed under: Fusobacteriota bacterium
Lineage: Bacteria; Fusobacteriati; Fusobacteriota
Description: Fusobacteria bacterium partial 16S ribosomal RNA
Rfam family: Bacterial small subunit ribosomal RNA
Source: RNAcentral